UUUAGGUGGCUGAGUAUAAGCAUUAGACUUUUAAUUUAAUAACGGUAUAAUAUUUAUGUACCCCUGGUG
Molecule: transfer RNA, 69 nt
Filed under: Lunella granulata
Lineage: Eukaryota; Metazoa; Mollusca; Gastropoda; Trochida; Turbinidae
Description: tRNA-Lys
Source: RNAcentral